This 497-nucleotide ribosomal RNA is filed under the name uncultured bacterium. Its description in RNAcentral is "partial 16S ribosomal RNA". It matches the Rfam family "Bacterial small subunit ribosomal RNA", at positions 28 to 507 of the family's 1533-position model. The record is from RNAcentral.
GAUGAACGCUGGCGGCGUGCCUAAUACAUGCAAGUCGAGCGAACAGACGAGGAGCUUGCUCCUCUGACGUUAGCGGCGGACGGGUGAGUCACACGUGGAUAACCUACCUAUAAGACUGGGAUAACUUCGGGAAACCGGAGCUAAUACCGGAUAAUAUAUUGAACCGCAUGGUUCAAUAGUGAAAGACGGUUUUGCUGUCUCUUCUAGAUGGAUCCGCGCCGCAUUAGCUAGUUGGUAAGGUAACGGCUUACCAAGGCAACGAUGCGUAGCCGACCUGAGAGGGUGAUCGGCCACACUGGAACUGAGACACGGUCCAGACUCCUACGGGAGGCAGCAGUAGGGAAUCUUCCGCAAUGGGCGAAAGCCUGACGGAGCAACGCCGCGUGAGUGAUGAAGGUCUUCGGAUCGUAAAACUCUGUUAUUAGGGAAGAACAAAUGUGUAAGUAACUAUGCACGUCUUGACGGUACCUAAUCAGAAAGCCACGGCUAACUACGUG